This 467-nucleotide ribosomal RNA is filed under the name uncultured bacterium. Its description in RNAcentral is "partial 16S ribosomal RNA". It matches the Rfam family "Bacterial small subunit ribosomal RNA", at positions 29 to 507 of the family's 1533-position model. The record is from RNAcentral.
ACGAACGCUGGCGGCGUGCUUAACACAUGCAAGUCGAACGGAAAGGCCCUGCUUUUGUGGGGUGCUCGAGUGGCGAACGGGUGAGUAACACGUGAGUAACCUGCCCUUGACUUUGGGAUAACUUCAGGAAACUGGGGCUAAUACCGGAUAGGAGCUCCUGCUGCAUGGCGGGGGUUGGAAAGUUUCGGCGGUUGGGGAUGGACUCGCGGCUUAUCAGCUUGUUGGUGGGGUAGUGGCUUACCAAGGCUUUGACGGGUAGCCGGCCUGAGAGGGUGACCGGCCACAUUGGGACUGAGAUACGGCCCAGACUCCUACGGGAGGCAGCAGUGGGGAAUAUUGCACAAUGGGCGGAAGCCUGAUGCAGCAACGCCGCGUGCGGGAUGACGGCCUUCGGGUUGUAAACCGCUUUCGCCUGUGACGAAGCGUGAGUGACGGUAAUGGGUAAAGAAGCACCGGCUAACUACGUG